UUGGUUGCGCCGCGAGGGCUUUACUGGGCUAGGGGACGCCCGCGGGGCAGCGAGGCUGAAGCCGGCGAGAAGCGGGAAGCGGGAAGCGGGAAGCGGGACCGGGACUGGGUUUAGCCGGCCACCGAAAGGCCGAGGGUCGGCUGCUCUUAGUCUCUGCUAGGCCUCCCGAGAUAGGGCGUAGGAGCUUGAGGAGUUCAGAAAGUGAGUUGCGGACUCCUGUCUGGGACUUUGGUUUGAGCCCUGGCUUCGGCCUUUCUCGCAUUUCCCCGCAAGGACGUUUCCUCUCAGUCUUUGCAGAAGUUGGGAACGUUGGACUUUAUUUUCAUUGUUUGGUCGAGGGUCCACUGUAUGUAAGCACUCGUUGUUCUGCGCCAGGCAUCGUGGAGACAGCUUUGAGGUAGAAGCUAGGGGAGGGAGGGCUUAGGGAUGCUUGAGGUAUGUUCCUUACCCACCUGCAAUGUUGGAGGUUGAGAAUCUGGCUUUGAUAUCUUCGUGGAGGACUACAUUAUUUUCAAUCCUGAAUCUGGUUCAGUUUUCUUACUGAUUUCUUACUGUAUUAAAAAUGUUUGUUUAAUUAGC
This is a long non-coding RNA of Mustela erminea (ermine), 579 nucleotides long. RefSeq lists it as uncharacterized. The record is from RefSeq and is a predicted model, not a curated record. NCBI's taxonomy places the organism in Eukaryota, Metazoa, Chordata, Mammalia, Carnivora, Mustelidae. The transcript has 2 exons.